Zonotrichia albicollis (white-throated sparrow) is the source of this 1139-nucleotide long non-coding RNA. NCBI's taxonomy places the organism in Eukaryota, Metazoa, Chordata, Aves, Passeriformes, Passerellidae. The record is from Ensembl.
AAAUGUGUGUACUUGUAAUAGGAAUGUGCUUUGACAAUUAGAUAUCUUUAAACAAAGACAGGCAUUAUCUCAUUUGUUUUGCCUAAUCUUGAUCUCUUCUUAAAACAGGUCAACAUCUAGCAGAGAAUAUCCAUGGCAGCUAUCAUAAUAAAUUCUCUCCUAAAACAGUGAGGCAGACUUCAAGACCUGCUCUGAAUCUGGAUAAAAGCAGGAGACAACAACAGCCAACAAUGGACUGUAGCAGGGAAAGGCAAGAUUGGUCUCCUCAGCCUUUGGUGACCUACUCUGGGGAGCAUGGUGGUAAAUUGGAUGCAGGGGAAGAUUGGCAAACUCACAGGAAUCAGAACAGCUAAAUGGGAACUUCCUGAAAUGAAAUGCUUCUCUGGCACCUCCAACAGCUAGAAGACAGGGUGGAAAAUUGACAUCUUCUCUAAGUAUGAAAAGGGCAUCAAACUACAUGAAGUAUCAGUCCUGGCUGCAGCUCUGCACCCAGGACACAGGGAGACAAGACAUAAGAAGACGGCUGUGCCCCUCAUGCCUCCCAAGACAGUAGCUCCUAUCUGUGCUGAGCCUUGGAGCUCUCUCCCCUCUGUUUCAGGGCUAAGCUCAUGGUGAAAGCAAGGUACAACUUCUCAGAUGAAACACUUUUGCAUCUCUUCUCUACAAAUAGAGGCCAGUAUAUGUUGUGCAGGUAUUAAGCAACUAUAAGAUUUAUACCAUGGUGGUGACAGGAAUUAAUUCCCAGAGACCUCAAGGAGAGCGAAAAGAACACAUUUUGUAACUGUCAAGUAUCAAGCAAUCUUUUUCCUAUAAAUGUAACUUUUUUGACUUUUCUGUCAGUUUCAGAAAAAAUAUCAGAUUAUUUGCAUAAGUUCAAAAUGCUAGUGCCGCGAUGUCUUAAAGGGUUUGAAUAGCUCUAAUGAGGAGAAAAGUUGUUCCAGUACUUCUGAGCAGAGCACGAUGAAAGGAUAUUGAGAGCAAAUGCAUUUCUCAAGCUAGUUUUGCAUACUCAUAAAUGUGACUAAUGCAAGAUACAGUAAAUAGAAUUAAUAUUGAGAAAUCAUUUGAAAAGGGUAUACAAAGCUCUACGGCUUUCAAAUACUGCAGUUGAAAUAAAGAUCAACACACAAAAGAUAGCA